GGAGCAAAUACCCCAAAACGACAGUCUUAGUUCGGAUUGUAGGCUGCAACCCGCCCUACAUGAAGUCGGAAUUGCUAGUAAUCGCGGAUCAGCAUGCCGCGGUGAAUACGUUCCCGGGCCUUGUACACACCGCCCGUCACACCAUGGGAGUUGGUAACACCCGAAGUCAGUAGCCUAACCGCAAGGAGGGCGCUGCCGAAGGUGGGAUCGAUGACUGGGGUGAAGUCGUAACAAGGUACC
RNAcentral lists this ribosomal RNA (240 nucleotides) under uncultured bacterium. RNAcentral's name for it is "partial 16S ribosomal RNA". It matches the Rfam family "Bacterial small subunit ribosomal RNA", at positions 1264 to 1500 of the family's 1533-position model. The record is from RNAcentral.